AACAGCUAAAACCUGCUUCUUUAAAUAUGAUUCUGAUUUUAGAUUCAAAAUUUUUCUUUUGAUUUUAGAUUCAAAUUUUAAUUUUAAAUUUUAAAUUUAUAUUCAAUUUUUAAAUUUAAAAUUUUAACUUUUAAAUUUUAAAUUUCAAAAUUUAAAUUUCAAAUUUAGAUGUUAAAUUUCAAAUUUAAAUUUCAAAUCUCAAAUUUUAAAUUUUCAAAUUUUAAAUUUUAAAUUUCAAAUUUAAGAUAAAUUUUAAAUUUCAAAUUUAAAAUUUAAGAUAAAUUUUUAAAUUUUCAAAUUUAAAAUUUAAAUUUAAAUUUUCAAAUUAGAUUUUAUUUUUAAAAUUAAGAAUUUAAAUUUAGAUUUAAAAAUUUACAUUUUAAAUUUUAAAUUUCAAAUUUAGAUUUAUAUUUAAAUUAAAAUUUUAAAUUUAGAUUUAAAUUUAAAUUUAUAUUUCAAAUUAGAAUAUUGAAAAAAAAUUUUGCACAAAAUUUUAAAUUUUAAAAUUUAACAUUUUUUAUUUAAAAUUUUAAUUCAAAUUCAAAUUUUUAAUUUUUUAAAAUAAAAUUUAGUAAAAAAAAUUAUUGUAUGCCAACAUCAAAAAAAUUUGCCAAACAGCUUUAUAAAAUCACUUCAGAAAAAUUUCCUUUUAUCGAACUAAGUUAAACGCUCUACAGCUUUUAACCCAAAUCCAUUCUCCAAACCAAAAUCAAUUAUGCAGAAAUCACGUUUACAGAAUCUAGGCCAAACAGGGCUCAUUACUUAUUACUUUCAGGUUCAAGCUUUCGAAUUUUGUUUCGGGCUUCGAUUUUUUAUCGGGUUUGAUUUUAGUUAUAAAUUUCCAAAAUCAGACAGUUUCUGAUUAAGGUUCGGAUUUUGGUUCAGG
RNAcentral lists this long non-coding RNA (886 nucleotides) under Ananas comosus (pineapple). RNAcentral's name for it is "long non-coding RNA (ACOM_LNC028908)". The record is from RNAcentral. Lineage: Eukaryota; Viridiplantae; Streptophyta; Magnoliopsida; Poales; Bromeliaceae.